AAAUUUAAGUUCAGUAAGCUGCAACAUCUGUCACCCCAUUAAUCGCCAGGGUUGAUUUGGCUGAUCUGGCUGGGUAGGUGGGUAUCCCCUUCCUCCCUCAACGCUCCAUGUGCGUCCCUCCUGAAGCUGCACGCUUGGUGGAAGAGGACAAUGAUCCAGAUAUAGAAAGGUCUUUGGUUUUGGGUAUACAAUAGCAGUGCUCCCCUACUAAUACCUCCAAACAAACUCAAGGUCCACUUAACUUGUUGAUAGGUAGUAUGCUUUGAAUGCAAGAGAUCCCAGAUUCAGUCU
Molecule: small nuclear RNA, 291 nt
Filed under: Anolis carolinensis (green anole)
Lineage: Eukaryota; Metazoa; Chordata; Lepidosauria; Squamata; Anolidae
Description: 7SK RNA
Rfam family: 7SK RNA
About the family: 7SK was discovered as an abundant small nuclear RNA in the mid-70s but a possible function has only recently been suggested. Two independent studies have found that 7SK RNA binds the CDK9/cyclin T complex (known as elongation factor P-TEFb).
Source: Rfam by way of RNAcentral